AUUGCUGAAAGGGCUGGUUUGUAAUUUUUCCACCCAAGAAGAAGACGAAGAUCCAUUGGAUUAUUCAAACAAACUUUCAUUUAUAAUGUUAAACUAUGGCUUACAAAACAAGUAAUAUCAGUCGUAAAAAUUACAAACCAGCCCUUUCAGCAAUNUUAAAUUACAAUUAUUAUUAAUGGGUGGUUUUGUUUUACAUCAACUAAAACAUGAGAAUAAAACAAUGGCAAAUCAUUUCCCGUCCAUAAGAUGAAAAAUCUCAGAUGUAUUUUGUUCUGAGACCAUUCCCAUGAAAAAUAUAAUCACCACGGUACAAAACUGGGUUUGGUUCCAGGAUAUGGCCAAAAUGAACAAAUGCACUUCAUGGAGGAACCCUGAAAAAUAAUCACGAGAAUGGAGUACCUAUGUGUGUUUAUUUUUCCCCAUUCUGGUCAUAUCCAAAGGCCAAAUCAAAUACCUGGCUAUAGUCACCUACAAAGUGGACAUCUAGGCCCUCUUUCACAUUAGGUGCAAGCUCAUCAAAAUCCCUUCUGUUAGCUGAUGGGAAUAUGAUAGUCUUCACUUCACUCCUCCUUGCUGCUAUUGUUUUCUCCUUAACCCCGCCAAUGGGAAGAAUUUUCCCCGUUAGUGUAACUUCCCCAGUCAUUGCUAGAUCUCUCCUGACAGUCUUCUUCAUGGCAAGGGAAAGCAAGGAUGUGAUCAUGGUGCAACCAGCACUAGGCCCAUCCUUGGGGGUGGCCCCUGCUGGAACAUGGAGAUGAAGCUUGGAAUUAGCAAAGAAGGGGUUAUCUGGCUCUUUCCCAACCAAUAUAGCUCUGGCAACUGUGUGAGCAAUUUGGGCACUUUCUUUCAUAACAUCUCCAAGUUGACCAGUAAGUUGAAGAGCCCCUUUCCCCUCUCCUUGCUCAACCUGAGUGGUCUCUAUAUACAAUGUAGAACCACCCAUUGCAGUCCAUGCAAGACCCAUCACAACUCCAAUUGGAGUCUGUUCAUAGAUGCGCUCAGCAUGGAAAACAGGUUUGCCAACAAAAUCAGCUAGGUUAGAUGUGUCAACCAACACCUUCUCAACUGCCCUAGUUACUUCACUUUCUUCAAUUUUUUCAGUUUCAGUUGCUUCCUUUGAAUCAGCAGGUUGAUCUACAGGACCCUGAAUUUGAUCAGAUGGCUGAUCAAUUGUCACAGUCUCAGCUUCUACAGAUGUUUCAUUAUUUUGUUUAUUACUGCUACCCUCUACUGAUUCUGAAGAGCUUCGAACAGAUUCUGCUUUUGCUUUUUUUGUUUCUCCAGAAACAUCAGAUUCGCUCAAUUCUCCUUGACGC
Molecule: unclassified non-coding RNA, 1316 nt
Filed under: Hevea brasiliensis (rubber tree)
Lineage: Eukaryota; Viridiplantae; Streptophyta; Magnoliopsida; Malpighiales; Euphorbiaceae
Source: RNAcentral